GCUGUCACAGCUCAUUAUCAGUUCAAUUGUUAGUAUGUUUGGAUGAGGGCUAAAAUUCCACGUUUAUCAGUUUCAUCCGACAAAUUUAGACAAUUAAUGUCAUCGGAAAGGCAAGCAAAGAGGAUAUGUCGGCAUAGAAACAGCACGAGGAGGCAAGACACUGAAGAAUAAUUUGAGACAAGGAAGCAACUCGACAGAUAUUGUAAGAUCAGCCCAGAACAGAAGGCAUUACGUCUUAGCCUAUCCUGUACCGAGAGCGAUGGAAGAAUUUUUUGACGGAUUUGGGAAAUUCGCAAAUUAUCAAAAAUUUGUUCCGAAAUCUGGAAAUGAAGAUGAAAUGGAAUGUACGACGCACAUUUCAACAAAAGUCUCGAUUCAAUGCAGGCCUGUAUUUUAAUUCAUUCAUCGUCAACUUUAGAACUGCCACAAUACCACACACCUUCAAUGCCAUAACUUUAAUGAGAAGUGCAGCCGGGGAGACCUGGUGGCUAAUUUGUAGACUAUGGACACGAAGAACGGAGAAUAUGUAAGAACAUUCUUUGCGAUACAUUCCUCGCUCCAUUGCACUGGUGCAUGUUGCGUUAUUGGCGCCAACUACAUCCAUCUCACCAAAAUUAAUGCGUCAUAUUUUAAGUCACGUGACCAAGCAGAAUCCUUUCUCCCGAGGACAGGCACAACUGGUCCAACAAUACCGAAGCUACUCAAACGGGAUAUAGUCUAAAUUAUAUUGAAGAAGAUAUCUUUGGCCCGGAUCUUUGGCAGUUGGCGAAUCUUUAUACAUUGGAAUAUCAACAGGUAGAACUUGAGAUAUACAGAAUGACUUUACAAUGGUUUUUCUUGGACAGAAAAUCUUCAGUUAUUGUGUGCGGACAAGACACCAAUUUUACGGCAGAGCUUCGCCGAGGCUAAUCCAAACCUUAGCCCCAGCUCAUGGGAGGUUUGUUGAUGGGUCUCUGGGCGGUUGUUCUGCCCCUGCUUUAUCAAUUUGAACUUGAUAAUUUUUUUACUAUCAGCGGACAGACAUGUUUAUGGAACUUUGGAGUUAUAUUUCUUUAUUGGAUCUUAUGAAAUUUUUUUGUGUUACUUGGAUUCGUUGGAACCCCUUGGAACGUGGAUGCAUGACGACGCCAUCAGAGAGAGGACAGAUGAACAUUCUGAGACUGAUCAAACGUUGCUGUACGA
Lytechinus pictus (painted urchin) is the source of this 1182-nucleotide long non-coding RNA. RefSeq lists it as uncharacterized. NCBI's taxonomy places the organism in Eukaryota, Metazoa, Echinodermata, Echinoidea, Temnopleuroida, Toxopneustidae. The record is from RefSeq and is a predicted model, not a curated record. The transcript is spliced from 3 exons.